UAAGACGUAGGUGGCGAACGUUAUCCGGAAUUAUUGGGCGUAAAGGGUGCGUAGAUGGCUUGACAAGUUAGCAGUGGUAAAUCGAGGCUCAACCUCGUGGAAGCUGGUAAUACUGUCUGGCUUGAGUGCAGGAGAGGUUAACAGAACUCCAUGUGGAACGGUAAAAUGUGUAGAUAUAUGGAAGAAUAUCAAUAACGGCGAAGGCAGUUAACUAUUCUGCUACUGACAUUGAGGCACGAAAGCGUGGGGAGCAAAACGGAUUAGAUACCCGUGUAGUCCACGCCCUAAACGAUGAGUGCUAGAUAUUGGGAACUAGAUUCUCAGUGUCGUCAGGUAACCCAGUAAGCACUCCGCCUGGGUAGUACGGUCGCAAGGCUG
RNAcentral lists this ribosomal RNA (378 nucleotides) under uncultured bacterium. Its description in RNAcentral is "bacterial SSU rRNA". It matches the Rfam family "Bacterial small subunit ribosomal RNA", at positions 521 to 896 of the family's 1533-position model. The record is from RNAcentral.